AACGCACAUUGCACUCUUUGGUAUUCCGGAGAGUAUGCCUGUUUGAGUAUCAGUUUAACUCUCACCUACCAAGGUUCUUGCUUAACUGCUUGAACUUUCUCAGGUGGUCUUGGGCGAUGUCUUAGUUCACUCUAAGACUUGCCUUAAAAAAAUUGUAAGCCGGGUUAAGCAAUUAUCCGAACUUAACGAUCUAAGUAAACUUAACUGUUUCUUUAAAACGUUAAUAGUAGGCGCUUAAUGGUUUCUUAACAAUUUUACUAAGCAAGGAAACUUGCUUGAACUCUUGAUCUCAAAUCAGGUAAGAUUACCCGCUGAACUUAA
RNAcentral lists this unclassified non-coding RNA (321 nucleotides) under uncultured fungus. RNAcentral's name for it is "partial contains 5.8S ribosomal RNA, internal transcribed spacer 2, and large subunit ribosomal RNA". The record is from RNAcentral. Lineage: Eukaryota; Fungi.